CUGAUUGUCCGGGGGGUGGUGGCUUGGGGGUCGGGAGAAAUCCUUGUCUUUUGACACCGACACGGUGACGCUUGAGAGUGUCACCCUUCCUUUCUGAAGGGUGUCGGGUGUGCCUCCUCCCCACGCCUCGGAGCGUACCGGGGGAAACCCUAGGACCUGUCCGGGCAGCAGUGUCAUCGUCGUCAUUAUCCUUCGUGAAGGUGCUGCUUGGUACGCGAUGGAUCAAGAUGCUUGGAUCGUGGUGGAAAUAUUUCGGAGGAGACGCAGCGGUUGCGGGUCACUAUUGUUUUUGUUAAGCCGUCGGUGUUGGCAUUAUUUUCUCUUUCUUCUCUUUUUUGGGCGUGGAUGUGAUGUUUUGCCCCAUGAGUGGUUUCAUGUUGUAUCAUGUGGUUGCUAUAUAUAUAUAUAUAACGGGGCGAUAGCCUAUUUCGAG
RNAcentral lists this long non-coding RNA (433 nucleotides) under Hordeum vulgare. RNAcentral's name for it is "long non-coding RNA (HVUL_LNC005425)". Lineage: Eukaryota; Viridiplantae; Streptophyta; Magnoliopsida; Poales; Poaceae. The record is from RNAcentral.